RNAcentral lists this ribosomal RNA (149 nucleotides) under Priestia megaterium. RNAcentral's name for it is "partial 23S ribosomal RNA". Lineage: Bacteria; Bacillati; Bacillota; Bacilli; Caryophanales; Bacillaceae. The record is from RNAcentral.
CAUCUAAGCAUGAAGCCCCCCUCAAGAUGAGAUKUCCCAUAGCGCAAGCUAGUAAGAUCCCUGAAAGAUGAUCAGGUUGAUAGGUCAGAGGUGGAAGCGUGGCGACAUGUGUAGCUGACUGAUACUAAUCGAUCGAGGACUUAACCAAA